AUGGCUGUGAGCUUGAAAACAAUCCCAGAAAUACAGAAGGUAUACAAGCGGAGAGUGCGCCGGCAGGUCCCUGUGAUACCUGACGAGAUUGUCUUUGAGAUUCUUGUCCGGCUGCCUGUUAAAGCUAUCAUAAGGUUCAAGUCCGUCAACAAGACUUGGCAUGCUAUCAUCUCUCAUCCAUGCUUCAUCGGUUCACAUCUCCAACAAUCUGCCAAGAACCAAGAACGUAAGCCUUCCUUCCUCAUCACCCCACAUAUCCUGGACAAGGUGAUCGAUAGCGAGGCCUGGCCAACCACCUUUUCCAACUACAUCCCCUUCUACUCAUGGCAAGAGGGCCAGGACAAUGCGUGCCUUGUUCACUCAACAACCUUCCGUGGCGAGUUUGGGUCAGUUCACAACAUGGUGCACUGCGACGGGCUUGUAGUGCUCCUGACCAACACCAAGGUGUUUGUCUUCAACCCAGCAAUACAUGAUGUCCUUAAGCUGCGUAAUGGCCAAAAGGAUGAGUGGCAAUUCCCGACUGUCGGUUUGGGCUUUGACCCACGCACGAGCAAGUACAAGGUUGCUCGCUUCUUUUACCGUUCAAUAAAUUUUUCUACAAGGACUUAUAGUGUGGGAAUGGAAAUCUUUACUAUCGGUGGUGAUGAUAACUCCUGGCGGAGUGUUGCGGAGGAUCCACCGUUGCCAAUUGAGCCGGGGACUGUCACACACUUUAAGGGCUCUUUGUAUUUGCUUGUAUGGGAUGAACUCGUUGAAAGGUGCCCACAAGGUGUUCUUCGCUUCAGUUUAGAAGAUGAAACAUUUAGUUUCAUAUGCCAUCCUCAACUUCAGUCAUGCAAAGGGGAGCGGCUCAACUUUAUUGAGCUAGGUGGAGAACUAUGCCUUGCUCAAUGCCUUGAUGGGAAACAAGUAAUAUGGAUGCUGCACUCUGUCGACGGUCAUGAAUGGAUUCAACACCGUGUUAUUAUCUUACCUAAGCCAGAGCUGUACAAAACUUUAUCGGUCCUUCCUAGAGAUGUUUUGCUUAUUCGCAGUGGUAAUUGUCUUUACCACUAUGCUGAUGCCCGUCGAGAUGCAAGGGAAGUGGGUCGUCUGGAUCAGCUGAGGUAUAAGAAUCCUAGAGUUGGGUCCUUUGAUUAUGUUGGUCUGGAUACCUUCAUCUUCGACAUGUUUUCAUACACGGAGAGUCUUCAUCCAGUGACAAAGCAAGGCAAACAGAGAAUCUAUAAGGAUGGAAAUGAAGCAUUAGAUGGAUGA
Molecule: ribosomal RNA, 1257 nt
Filed under: Triticum aestivum (bread wheat)
Lineage: Eukaryota; Viridiplantae; Streptophyta; Magnoliopsida; Poales; Poaceae
Description: partial small subunit ribosomal RNA
Source: RNAcentral